GAGUAGCUUUGGACCUGUGUCUACUGGUAGAACCCUCGUUGUACUUUGGUCGGCUACCGGUGUCGUGUCCUGUCACAUUUUGAGGCAUUGUCCUGAAGAUUGAAAUAUUGGCUUGCAUUCUAGUACCCGACCUAUGGGAAGUGGUGCUUUGAAUAAUUGUUGCCCCACGGUGGACGCCCUUUGGGUGUGCCAUUGUGACGGAAUAGCGUUUGUGGCGUUGCCUUGUACAACAGUUAUAUAAUGUGCUUGUUGAUAUCAAGGCAAUCUCACUCUCGCUUUUGGUCUAGGAUGUUGCUGACGAUAAAGGCUCGAGGCCCUUUGGGUUGCCUUGAUCCGACUCAAUGCUCUCUCUGAAAUGGCGAUUACUAGACAUGUUUUACCUAUAGCUUUCCACGGUUCCGUGGUUGGUUUAGUGUUCUUAUGCUCUGGUGGCCCUCAUUGACGAAGAGCCAUGCCCGCUCAAAAGCGACAACUGGCUCAGUUGCUGUGUUUGCCUUUCCACGCAAGUGGAAUAGUAAGACAACUUCCUGAUGCUGGACGUCACUGAGGACGUGCU
This 556-nucleotide unclassified non-coding RNA is filed under the name Bromus gracillimus. Its description in RNAcentral is "partial external transcribed spacer 1". Lineage: Eukaryota; Viridiplantae; Streptophyta; Magnoliopsida; Poales; Poaceae. The record is from RNAcentral.